GGGGAUGUAGCUCAGUUGGUAGAGUGUUUGCCUUGCAUGUACAGGGCCCUGGGUUCAAUCCCCAGCUCCAUCA
Molecule: transfer RNA, 73 nt
Filed under: Marmota marmota marmota (Alpine marmot)
Lineage: Eukaryota; Metazoa; Chordata; Mammalia; Rodentia; Sciuridae
Also listed under: 1 other name
Rfam family: tRNA
About the family: Transfer RNA (tRNA) molecules are approximately 80 nucleotides in length.
Source: Rfam by way of RNAcentral